AUCAGCAGUUCACCAACAUAUAUUUCUCCUACAAGCCAUUCAAUAAAAAUGAUUAUAUGGGUGAAUGUCAUCUUGACCCUCUCAAUUUUGAAAGAUGUUCUGGCAGAUGUUUCAUUAACGGAAUCAGGAGGAGGAGUGAAAACACCUGGAAAUUCUCUUCGACUCACUUGCACAUGCUCUGGGUUCAAUAUUGAUAGUUACUGGGUGCAUUGGGUCCGCCAGGCAGAUGGAAAAGGGCUGGAGUGGAUUGCACGGAUAUAUCAAAGCUCCAUGUAUUAUGCCAACUCUUUUAAAGGUCGAUUCACAAUCUCCAAAGAUAGUUCCAGGAACCUGGUUUAUCUAGACAUGAACGGACUGAAAACUGAAGACACAGCCAAGUAUUACUGUGAAAGGGAACACAGUGGAGAAAAAUGA
Non-coding RNA from Pantherophis guttatus, 414 nucleotides. Lineage: Eukaryota; Metazoa; Chordata; Lepidosauria; Squamata; Colubridae. The record is from the annotation of a RefSeq genome assembly.